RNAcentral lists this ribosomal RNA (923 nucleotides) under Tricholoma terreum. RNAcentral describes it as "eukaryotic LSU rRNA". It matches the Rfam family "Eukaryotic large subunit ribosomal RNA", at positions 48 to 952 of the family's 3401-position model. The record is from RNAcentral. Lineage: Eukaryota; Fungi; Basidiomycota; Agaricomycetes; Agaricales; Tricholomataceae.
ACGGGGAGGAAGAAACUAACAAGGAUUCCCCUAGUAACUGCGAGUGAAGCGGGAAAAGCUCAAAUUUAAAAUCUGAGGGUCUUGUUGGCCUUCCGAGUUGUAAUCUAGAGAAGUGCUAUCCGCGCUGGACCGUGUACAAGUCUCCUGGAACGGAGCGUCAUAGAGGGUGAGAAUCCCGUCUUUGACACGGACUACCAGGGCUUUGUGUGAUACGCUCUCAAAGAGUCGAGUUGUUUGGGAAUGCAGCUCUAAAUGGGUGGUAAAUUCCAUCUAAAGCUAAAUAUUGGCGAGAGACCGAUAGCGAACAAGUACCGUGAGGGAAAGAUGAAAAGAACUUUGGAAAGAGAGUUAAAAAGUACGUGAAAUUGUUGAAAGGGAAACGCUUGAAGUCAGUCGCAUUGGCCAGGGAUCAACCUUGCUUUUGCUUGGUUUAUUUUCUGGUUAAUGGGUCAGCAUCAAUUUUGAUCGGUGGAAAAAGAUCAAGGGAAUGUGGCAUCUUCGGAUGUGUUUUAUAGCCUUUGGUUGUAUACAUCGAUUGGGAUUGAGGAACUCAGCACGCCGCAAGGCCGGGUUUUUAACCACGUACGUGCUUAGGAUGCUGGCAUAAUGGCUUUAAUCGACCCGUCUUGAAACACGGACCAAGGAGUCUAACAUGCACGCGAGUGUUUGGGUGGAAAACCCGAGCGCGUAAUGAAAGUGAAAAUUGAGAUCCCUGUCGUGGGGAGCAUCGAUGCCCGGACCAGAUCUUUUGUGACGGUUCCGCGGUUGAGCGUGUAUGCUGGGACCCGAAAGAUGGUGAACUAUGCCUGAAUAGGGUGAAGCCAGAGGAAACUCUGGUGGAGGCUCGUAGCGAUUCUGACGUGCAAAUCGAUCGUCAAAUUUGGGUAUAGGGGCGAAAGACUAAUCGAACCAUCUUUCGGCAC